CCUCCUUAUACGAUUUAGAACUUAUUUGUUCGUAGUGUCCACACAGAUGAUUGUUAGUUAGUUUUACCCUUUGGGUUAACUAAUUAAUAUGCUCUUUAAAAAUUUGGAAAAGCUGAUAAUAAAAUUCGUAUGAAUAACAUUGUUAUUUGUACAGAGUUUUCAAAAGUAAAAAAGAAUGAUAGCAGUAUCAUUCAGUGCCAAUUUAAUCCUCGGAUUAAUUGGUAUCUACUUUAGUAUUCAAUAUUAACUUCUGGCGAAGUUAAACUGUCACGAAACAAAGACCCGUUUGGGUUGUAUGGUUAAGUGACUAAGCGUACACGGUGGAUGCCUUGGCAGUUGGAGGCGAUGAAGGACGUAUUAACUUGCGAUAAGCCUAGUCAAGCUA
RNAcentral lists this unclassified non-coding RNA (385 nucleotides) under uncultured Pseudoalteromonas sp. RNAcentral's name for it is "partial 16S-23S ribosomal RNA intergenic spacer". The stretch from base 298 to 385 matches the Rfam family "Bacterial large subunit ribosomal RNA", at positions 1 to 88 of the family's 2925-position model. The record is from RNAcentral. Lineage: Bacteria; Pseudomonadati; Pseudomonadota; Gammaproteobacteria; Alteromonadales; Pseudoalteromonadaceae.